CACGAAAGGUGCAAGGAAAUGUUUUAGGUUUGUAGUUAAUUAUUCGUGAUUUGGUAAAACUUGUAAUUUGUUAGGUGAAAUUUUAAAUUAUGGCUAAUUCCAAAAUUUUGAUUCAAUGAAGCUGUGAAAAUUAGAAAUAAAACUA
This 145-nucleotide ribosomal RNA is filed under the name Isonychia shima. Its description in RNAcentral is "partial 12S ribosomal RNA". Lineage: Eukaryota; Metazoa; Arthropoda; Insecta; Ephemeroptera; Isonychiidae. The record is from RNAcentral.